Molecule: small nuclear RNA, 186 nt
Organism: Dermacentor andersoni
Lineage: Eukaryota; Metazoa; Arthropoda; Arachnida; Ixodida; Ixodidae
Product: U2 spliceosomal RNA
Source: RefSeq, a predicted model, not a curated record
ACAGGCCCGACGCGGGCCAAAGUAUAGUAUCUGUUCUUAUCAGCUUAAUAUUUGAUACGAGUUCUAUGUGGACCCAAGAUUUUAAACUUAUGUUUCCAAGCUGGCGCAGUGCUUGAAGCCUGCAUCGACCGCCUCCGCCGCGGGUCGGCCCGGUAUUGCACUAUCUCCGGGAUCGGCGCAUGGCUC